Molecule: ribosomal RNA, 490 nt
Filed under: uncultured bacterium
Lineage: Bacteria
Description: partial 16S ribosomal RNA
Rfam family: Bacterial small subunit ribosomal RNA
Source: RNAcentral
AUUGAACGCUGUCGGCAGGCCUAACACAUGCAAGUCGAACGGUAACAGGAAGCAGCUUGCUGCUUUGCUGACGAGUGGCGGACGGGUGAGUAAUGUCUGGGAAACUGCCCGAUGGAGGGGGAUAACUACUGGAAACGGUAGCUAAUACCGCAUAACGUCGCAAGACCAAAGAGGGGGACCUUAGGGCCUCUUGCCAUCGGAUGUGCCCAGAUGGGAUUAGCUAGUAGGUGGGGUAACGGCUCACCUAGGCGACGAUCCCUAGCUGGUCUGAGAGGACGACCAGCCACACUGGAACUGAGACACGGUCCAGACUCCUACGGGAGGCAGCAGUGGGGAAUAUUGCACAAUGGGCGCAAGCCUGAUGCAGCCAUGCCGCGUGUAUGAAGAAGGCCUUCGGGUUGUAAAGUACUUUCAGCGGGGAGGAAGGGAGUAAAGUUAAUACCUUUGCUCAUUGACGUUACCCGCAGAAGAAGCACCGGCUAACUCCGUG